CAGCCAUAUCACAUUGAAACACCAGUUCCUAUAUGAUCAUCAAUGUUAAGCAAUAUCAAGUCUGGUCAGUACCUAGAUGGUUCACCACUUGGGAAUACUAGGUGCUGUAAG
Acanthosepion pharaonis is the source of this 111-nucleotide non-coding RNA. NCBI's taxonomy places the organism in Eukaryota, Metazoa, Mollusca, Cephalopoda, Sepiida, Sepiidae. The record is from the annotation of a GenBank genome assembly.